AAUUCCAUUAAAAGAUUAAAUGUAUAAAAUAAUUGUUCAUAAGGGACCUUUAUCUAAGGAACGUUCUGUCUAGACGAGGGUAUUUAAGUUGACGGAAACAGAACACCUCCACCUGAGAACCGACUUGGAAGGUGAAUUGGGCAAAUAUUUUAUAAGCAUGCUAUAGGUGAUUGAUUUUAUUAAAGAGUUUAAUAAAUGAAAUCAAGUAUUAUUAAAACAUUCAAUAUAAAUGUUAUAUUGAGUAAAUUUAAAAUGACUUAAGAUUUAUUACUCGAAGUUUAACUAUAAAACCCUAAAGAUAAUAGAAUACUUUAGUGGGAGAAAAAUAGUAUAUGGGAUAUAUCAAUUUUUAGCUCUCACGUCUCUAAAUGUUCACACCGUGAGAUCCAUGCUCAACUUCUUGUCACCCUGGGCACGACCUCCUUACGGAAAGUGUUUGCAUGGGUCAAUAUCAAGGUGAACAGGGAAAGUAUUCAUAGUAAAUGGGAGAAUGAUGCAUGUCAAUAUAUCCUAUGAUCUCCUGCAUUAGGUUGCACUGUGAGAGUUCUAUGGUCUGUCUGUAUGUCGUCCUAGAGCGACCAUCCCUCAGAGGGCCUGAUCAUAGAAUUGGAACAACGUAAACUCCAGUAAUGGAUAGAGUUUCUUAGGUUAAUCUUCAACAGUUGUCUUUCCCUUUGAUAGCCUGUUGAAGCAUACCUCUGGGAUCCGAAAAUGGUAAGGUCACAUUGACUGAACAAUGGUAGAAGAGAAUGCCUUAAGUAUUACAAAAUGAACCUUAAGGACUAAACUUUAAGCUUGGGUUAAGUAAAAGUUUUAAAUGAUAAAAUUUGACUAAGUGUUGGUGUGUGGUAUGUGAUUAAAAGACAAUUGAGGUUAAGUGUGGAGCAUGCGGCCAACCAUUGGAGGUUAAGCAAAGCCAUGUUGGACGCAUGGUGAGGGAAAUGGUUAGGCAGACAUAAAGGCAUGUUGGAUGCAUGGUGUAGUUGGUCAAGCUAUUUGAGGUUAGGAAUGGAAUGGUCGAGCAUAGCUAUACGUUGUAGGGCCUCAGUCAUGUGUUGAAGUAGCUCGGGUAUGCGUUGAUAGGUUACUAUGUGUUAAUGUUGAAACCAUGUGCUAAGUGUUUUGAGGUAGUUGGUCGCGUAGAAAGGCAAGGGAAAGCCCAUGCGACAAGGCUAAGCGAUGAUUAGCUCAAUCGAGUUUAAGAUAGGCUUCACAGGGGCAUUGUGUAAGGAUGGUUAGGCGUGGAGUUAAAGCAUGUGAUGAAGUAUGUGGUGAUCUUGGCUAAGGGGACUUAUACACCAAUGGGGUAGGCGACGAAGUAGGGUGUACUAUGGACUUGAGGUUAGUAUGGGCACAUAGGAGGGAUGCGAUGGCCAAACCAUGCGACCAUGGUGAGUGGUGUAUGUGUUGACAAAGGAGAACUUGGAGAGCAAGUCUGAAGUGCUAGCUCGUCCGGACAUGUGGCUAAUUAGGGGAAGUCUGGGAUCUCAUGCAAAUUGAGGUGGACGCCUGAGAAGACAUGCAAGGGAGGACAUAUGCAUUGGCUAAGGGAAAGGAAGACACAUCAGUGUCAAUGUGGCAAAGGGUUGCGUUGGCAGCAUGAAAAGGGAACACUUGGUCAAGCAACCAAGUAGGAGGUGUCGAGCUCAGAGGAACUUUGGACCCCUAUAAAUAGGAUGUUUUGGGACGAAGGACUCUCACAAGUCACUCGGGCAAUUCGAGUGAAAUUAGUGUCAAAAUUCUAAGAAAAGAGUGUAGUGAGAAGUCCCGGGCUACCAUUGCGUUUGGAGUUCUGUAGUAGAAGGAAUUUGCGUUGAUAGCUAAGUGGUCCAGUUGAUCGCAUAGGCUGUCGCCUAGUAGCCCUAUUGCGCGUCUUUGCUAGCCUAAGCGCGCGCCCCUUGCUAGACGCGCAUUCAGAGGAAUUCACGCCAGCGCGCACGGACGCAUCUCAGCGCAUGCCUGCGCGCGCUGCAUCGCCCAGCUUGCACGCGAUCAGGCAGGCACACGCUCAGACACCUAGCAUUGCCUAUGCGAGAGUUGCCGCUCAUCAGCGUGCCUCCCUUCCCACCUACGCGCAUAGACACGCCCACUUGCUGCCCAGUGCCCUACAACUUGCCAAAAUAACCUCCAAAGGGUUGUUUUGGAGAAGUUGAGCCUAUUUUUGGUUAUUUUAAAGGAGGAGAAAUUCAAGGAAACGGGGCUAGGAGCUGGUUAAGGGAAUUCCUGAAGAAUAGAACAAGAGGAACUGUAGCGGAAGUGGAUCGUUCUAGGAAAAGCCACAUGAGGUCUGAACUGGUACUAUCUCACAGGGUGGGACUCGGAUCAUGUCAACUGGAAGUCAUUAGGAUAGUUAGGUUAAAACAAGAAAAAUAGUAUGUGUAAUCAUUUAUAAAUUAUUAAUGAGUUAUAAUGUUUGUUUGUUAGCCUAGCUAUUAAGUUGGUGAAGUCGGGCAGUUGAUAUCACAAAAGGGUGGUGUUAAUUGUCUUUACAUCCUCUUUCGGGUUUGGAUGAUAAGGCUCGGGAGGGGGUGUGACAAUCAUGCGAGGUGAAAAUCUAACUUGAAUAUGAUUCUAGUUAAAGAUGAUCUAUGGUUUGUCUUAAUGGAGAAAUGUCCUGCAAUCCCCGCUUAUAAUGCAUCCCAAGCAUUGAAGGAUGUUAUGACCGCUGUACGAAGACCAAUGAUAAUGUCCGAGUCUAUAUCUUGACAAGUCUGUCUGACGUUCUUACCAAGAAAUAUGAGGUCAUGAUCACUGUACGUCAGGUCAUGGAGACCCUCCAAAAGAUGUUUGGACAACCGUCCUCUCAAAUCUGGCACGAAGCCCUCAAGUAUGACUAUAACACCCGUGUAAAGGAAAGCCAAUCAGUCAGAGAACAUGUUCUCAGUCUGAUGGUCCACUUCAAUGUCGUCGAGACGAACGUUGCGAUCAUCGACGAGCAGAGUUAGGUGUCCUUUAUUUUAGAAUCUCUUCUCAAGAGUUUUCUUCAA
This is a non-coding RNA of Benincasa hispida (wax gourd), 2987 nucleotides long. The record is from RefSeq and is a predicted model, not a curated record. NCBI's taxonomy places the organism in Eukaryota, Viridiplantae, Streptophyta, Magnoliopsida, Cucurbitales, Cucurbitaceae.